This 20-nucleotide non-coding RNA is filed under the name Arabidopsis thaliana (thale cress). Lineage: Eukaryota; Viridiplantae; Streptophyta; Magnoliopsida; Brassicales; Brassicaceae. The record is from RNAcentral.
UGGAGUGAUGCUUCUCGACU